This 496-nucleotide ribosomal RNA is filed under the name uncultured bacterium. RNAcentral's name for it is "partial 16S ribosomal RNA". It matches the Rfam family "Bacterial small subunit ribosomal RNA", at positions 28 to 507 of the family's 1533-position model. The record is from RNAcentral.
GAUGAACGCUGGCGGCGUGCCUAAUACAUGCAAGUCGAGCGAACAGACGAGGAGCUUGCUCCUCUGACGUUAGCGGCGGACGGGUGAGUAACACGUGGAUAACCUACCUAUAGACUGGGAUAACUUCGGGAAACCGGAGCUAAUACCGGAUAAUAUAUUGAACCGCAUGGUUCAAUAGUGAAAGACGGUUUUGCUGUCACUUAUAGAUGGAUCCGCGCCGCAUUAGCUAGUUGGUAAGGUAACGGCUUACCAAGGCAACGAUGCGUAGCCGACCUGAGAGGGUGAUCGGCCACACUGGAACUGAGACACGGUCCAGACUCCUACGGGAGGCAGCAGUAGGGAAUCUUCCGCAAUGGGCGAAAGCCUGACGGAGCAACGCCGCGUGAGUGAUGAAGGUCUUCGGAUCGUAAAACUCUGUUAUUAGGGAAGAACAAAUGUGUAAGUAACUAUGCACGUCUUGACGGUACCUAAUCAGAAAGCCACGGCUAACUACGUG